Molecule: ribosomal RNA, 257 nt
Filed under: uncultured bacterium
Lineage: Bacteria
Description: partial 16S ribosomal RNA
Rfam family: Bacterial small subunit ribosomal RNA
Source: RNAcentral
UACGGAGGGUGCAAGCGUUAUCCGGAUUCACUGGGUUUAAAGGGUGCGUAGGUGGGCAGGUAAGUCCGUGGUGAAAUCUCUGAGCUUAACUCAGAAACUGCCGUGGAUACUAUUUGUCUUGAAUAUUGUGGAGGUGAGCGGAAUAUGUCAUGUAGCGGUGAAAUGCUUAGAUAUGACAUAGAACACCAAUUUGCGAAGGCAGCUCACUACACAAUUAUUUGACGCUGAGGCACGAAAGCGUGGGGGAUCAAAACAGG